RNAcentral lists this ribosomal RNA (253 nucleotides) under uncultured bacterium. RNAcentral describes it as "partial 16S ribosomal RNA". It matches the Rfam family "Bacterial small subunit ribosomal RNA", at positions 524 to 776 of the family's 1533-position model. The record is from RNAcentral.
UACGUAGGUGGCAAGCGUUAUCCGGAAUUACUGGGCGUAAAGCGUGCGCAGGCGGCUUUGCAAGACAGAUGUGAAAUCCCCGGGCUUAACCUGGGAACUGCAUUUGUGACUGCAUGGCUGGAGUGCGGCAGAGGGGGAUGGAAUUCCGCGUGUAGCAGUGAAAUGCGUAGAUAUGCGGAGGAACACCGAUGGCGAAGGCAAUCCCCUGGGCCUGCACUGACGCUCAUGCACGAAAGCGUGGGGAGCAAACAGG